Cavia porcellus (domestic guinea pig) is the source of this 3084-nucleotide long non-coding RNA. RefSeq lists it as uncharacterized. NCBI's taxonomy places the organism in Eukaryota, Metazoa, Chordata, Mammalia, Rodentia, Caviidae. The record is from RefSeq and is a predicted model, not a curated record. The transcript has 3 exons.
GCCCUGCUCCUGCAGUGAGCUCAGCACUCAGGCUUUUGUUCAAUCCACUUCUGUAGGGCGAAGAGCACAGUGCUUGCGACACUUCUGGUUCCUUCUGUGAGUCACCUUUGGGAGUUAUUCCUGUAACGAGCCUCCCAGAUUUCCCAAGACUUUUCAGUAUUUCAUUUUUCCUUGAUGAAGACGUGAGUGAGAUGCAGAGAGACAGCCCAGCUCCUUCCCUGAGAAGGGCGGGUCCAGCCUUGGCACAGAGCCCAUUCUGCCCAGCCGCUACAAUGAAUCUCACUGGGAACUCUUUGUCCCAGCUCCGCAGGGAACCUGGCCCUGUGAUCUGGAUAAGGAAAGGCCUUUUCCUAUCUUUCUGGCUUGCCUUCCAGCCCCAUUGUUUGCAGCCUGUUUGCAUAGCCAAGCUUGGCCAGCAGGGCCAGGGUAGGCACAGGUCAGGCUAGAUGCUGUCCUCUCUGGGUCCUCUUAACUCUCACUUUUUGUCCCAGAGGCCACUGGGUGGCUCAAGGUACAGUCUGAGAAGGCUUCUCCCAGCCCAGCGUUAGGUGAGGAGGGGUAAUUCCUAUCUGGGGUGGUUUUUUGUUUGUUUUGUUUCUGGGAUAGGGUCUCACUGUACAGUCCAGGCUGGCCUCAAACACACGAUCUUCCUGUCUUAGCCUCAUGGGUGCUGGGAUUAUAGGUGUGCACCUUCCUGGCUUUCAAUCUGUAUUACUGAAAGAUGUCACAUGAAUGUGUGGCCAUGGCAGGCUCUCAGUAAUACAACCAUGACCAAACAUGGUGGUGUAUCCCAAGCACUCAGGAUGCAGAGGCAGGAGGAUCCCCAUGUAUUUGAGGUCCACCUGGGCUACAUAGUGAGACAUUGUCUCAAAAAAAACAAAACUAAACUAAUACAGCCAUUGGGGUACUGCUCAGUGGUACAGAGCUUGCCUAGCAUGGCCCUAGGUUUGAUCCUCGGUACCACCAAAAGGGAGGAACAAAGGAGAAACAAACAAACUGACAAAGUACAUACUCAGUAGUACAAUCAUUACUAAUAGUUGUAGGGUAGUGGGAAGGAUAGGAAAUCUUUUGGGUGUGUGAGGGGACCGAGGAAAAUCUUUUUAUCUGUUCUGCUCCACAAAUGGCUUUUUUUUUUGUCCUGGAAAUCGAACUAAGGACCUUGUGCUUACCAGGCAGGAACAAUCCUAGUCAGCACCUCCCAACUCAGCACCAAGAGCUCUGUGUGCCAGUGGAGUGGCCCGGAGUACUGACCUGCUCCUCUCCCACACCUGGGGCUUCCGAGCUCCUGUCCUAGCAUGACUGUCCAUCCACAUCACUCGUUCCUCCUCGGGCUCUGAAUGGAGGUGGAAAAUGCUCAGAGGUCUGUGUGGUACAGGGAGAAGGAAGGCACAUGGAAAACGUGGAUUGGUAAGAGAUGACUGGCAACAUUUAGGAGCUAGCUGGGAAGAGCCGAGAGACAGGAUUUCAAAGAAAACAAUCACUUUGCAGAGGUGAUUAGGGAGGGGGGGGGUCUUUACUUUCUUUAAUAUGCCAGCAAUCAUCCCUUCUCAGCUUCUGUACAACCAGUUUUGGGCCAAUCAUCGUUGACCUGAGACUCCAGGCCUUCAGCAAACAGCUAUAGAAACUGCUGGGAAAAGAGCUCCGGCAGCCAAGGCUCUCUGAAAGUUCCUGGAGCAUCUCUGCAGGCCCCAAACCACACAUCUCCUACUACCGGGUUCCCUAAGGACUGGGCAGGACCCCAGCCCCUUACCUGCCAGCCAUGGCCAGAGCCAGCCGGAGGAGUGGCCCUGAGUGGCCUGUGGCAGGACCUGGGCUCCAGCUCAAGGAAUGUGCGGGAACCACUGCAGGCUGCUGCCACGAGGGAGUCACAGCACCAGGCACACCAGGCCAUCCCUUCCAUUCAGUCCACCCAGCUGGAGUCUUCUGGGCCUAGGAGUCCAGAAUGGAGAGUGGCUUUUGUGAAGACCAUUUUGGAACGGGUUAGGGUAGGUGUAUAAUAAGAGGACCUGAGAUAGCUGUUGUGCAUAUGGCUAGUGUAAUGGGCAGGAGUCAGGUGUGUCACACACACGCACAUGCACAGUAAGUAAUUCAGAGAGUUUGAUACAGAGACUGCCACAAAGGCCAGGCCAGGCUGUUGCAAAGCCAUAGGGUGACUGCAGGACCAGUGUGCCAAGAAGAGGCCCUGAUCCAUAACACCUGGCUGGGUGAACCUGAGACCAGUGACAGCUCAGAGAUGGACACAGAGAACCAUGUGGCACCUUCAGGUGACCCAAAGCCACCCUGGAAGAGCCCCCAGGGAGUUAGGGUUAAGCUUGACCCUACACCUCUGCUCAGGAGUUUCCCAUGCGCCAGGCACAUCAGGGAGGACAUGUGUAGGGCACAGCUAGCUGAUGUUUACGUGGUUUUAAUUUUGAAGUUGAAAGACAAGUGUAAAAAUAGCUUCAAUCAGAUGUCCUGCAAGUCACAAAUUGUCACCCUAAAAUGUCCUGCGUCCCUGGACCCAUUUGUGGAGAGCAGACUCUCUCUUGGAGACUGGGUUGGCUGUCCUCAGUCACAUACCUUCCUGCCCGCUGGAGAGCCAGGCCCUCUGUCCAGGAAGUGCUCGGCGUAAGUACAACACAUGGCUCUGACCCUGCUCGGCGACUCUGCCCCUGCCCCUGUACCGAGUUCUACCUGAAGAAAAAUCUUGAUGGGCGAAAAUUACUUUAAAAUGACAAUAAGAAAAGUUUACCUUUUGUUUUUUUAAAGCAAAAGAACAAGGAAGCUGGAUCGAGGGUACCUAAACCCAUGUGUAGAGCACAGCAUUAAGAACCAAUCUCGGGGCUGGGGAUUUAGCUCAGCGGCAUAAGCGCCUGACUUGCAAGCAGGCAGUUGUGAGUUCGAUCCCUGGUACCGAUAAAAAGGAAAAAGACAAAAAAAAAAAAAAAAAAAAAACAAAAAAAAAAAACCAAUCUCAUUUUCUACCGACAAAGAAUUGAAGAGAAGCCAAUUUAUUGGGUACCUCCUAGUUGUAUGAUCUUGGCAGGUCUCUCAGCCUCUCUGUGCCUCUAUCCUCUCCUUUAUAAAAUGGAAAUAAUCACUCUC